UGCUGUCGUCAGCUCGUGCCGUGAGGUGUAUGGUUAAGUCCCGCAACGAGCGCAACCCCUGCCCCCUAGUUGCUAACCCGCGAGGGUGCACUCUAGGGGGGACUGCCUCCGUCAAGGAGGAGGAAGGUGGGGAUAACGUCAAGUCAUCAUGGUCCUUAUGCCCAGGGCUACACACGUCCUACAGUGGCCGUUACAAUGGGAAGCUACAUCGCGAGGUGAUGCCAAUCCUGUAAAAGCGGCCAUGGUUCGGAUUGCAGGCUGCAACUCGCCUGCAUGAAGAUGGAAUCGCUAGUAAUCACUGAUCAGCAUGCAGUGGUGAAUACGUUCCGGUCUU
This 334-nucleotide ribosomal RNA is filed under the name uncultured bacterium. RNAcentral describes it as "bacterial SSU rRNA". It matches the Rfam family "Bacterial small subunit ribosomal RNA", at positions 1047 to 1374 of the family's 1533-position model. The record is from RNAcentral.